AACUGGUGGUCAACUAAGACCACCCCAAAGGAGUCGAACUUUCCGGGUCCUUUGUGCAGCGGGCGGAAUUUCCCACAGAGCUGGUUCCACUUGAGAAGGUAGCCAUAUGCCGACGCCUACGACACCAUUUCAGCAAUAGAUCCUGCCAUUCCACCCAAGUGUGGCAUGUCCUGGCCUGUUUCCGAAAUUAAUAAUUGCAACAUUUCGCGCUAAGUGAAACCAAAAGUCCAGAGUUCCACUCUUGUUGUUUUUCGAGUCACACAUGGCCGCCAGGAGUCAGUUGGUCAGUUUUAUGGGUGAAUUACCAGAUCGACAGGGGCUGCGCCGCGUGAAGCUCGAAAAGGGCCGAACAGGGCCUAAAGGACAAAGGCAAACACCCACCCAUGUGUGGGCCAGAUGAGAAGGUCCUUACGUGCGUGACCGUUACAAACAAGCCGCCCGAUGACUCAGUGCUAUCUGUAUCUGAACCACGAGUAUAGUCCAAGGAUCAGGACGCGGGUGCGCAGGCGCGCGUCAGUUGGUCUGCAAGUCCUAACCCUUAAAUGCAGCCGGCAAAGUCGAGAGCUCAAAACUCAGGACUCAAAACUCAAAAACUCCCUCGCCCAGCAAACCACCCUGUUCUAGUUUAAAGUAAUGCCCAAAAACUACACCUAUCUUAGAGUCGAAAAGUAUAGGAGCAGCCGCCGUUUGGCGCGCCCACAUUGCCCAAAGUUGUUGUCCUAGAAUAUUUUCAUUUUAAUUGUUAUGCUGAUGUUGGCACGAGCCAACAUAUGUCCUGGAAACAUCCGUGUGGAGUGUCAUUGACUGGCGCUGCUGUUGUCUUUUGGCGCCCAAUUCUCGAAAGGAAAACUCCCUGCUAUCGCCACUAUCGGGGGUUGUCCUUCUCGGGGAAAACUGUUAGUUCAGCCACUGCCACCGCCACCGCACCACCAUCCACAUUAUAUCACCACCACCAACGAUCACCACCGAUCAGCAGAGCGCGACCAAAUUAUGCCCAAGUUGCUCGGCUGCAGCGCUUCGCUGACCCCGUGUCUUUUGCCUUGGGUUUUUCGACUGCGCCUUCAACUUCGACUUCCAGCCCGACUUCUGCUGGCUGACGACCUUUUGGGCCUCCUUUUCUGGGUCGUGGAGUGGGAAUGGGCCAAGAGCACGCGCUUCCACAAGCCAUUUCCUCCACUUCCUCCACGGCAACCGAAAUGUAAUGAGUCGGCUGUGUCAGGUGCAUAUGCAGGAUGUACUGAGAGAAACCACAUUCCGAAAUGAUAGACGAUUAGGAACCUGGAAUACAAAUGUGCUCUUGGAAUAUAGUUAUACUCUUUUUCUCAUUAUAUAGUUGCCACAGCAACUACAAUCAUAUUUUAAUAGUUAAUACUUAACAGUUAAGAUUAAGAUCAAAUAGUAUUAGAGUAAUGAAAUAAAAGAAAAGGGUGCCCUCUCGCUCCGUCCUGCUGGCUAGGUCGCGCCGUCUCUUUCUCGAUCGCGUAAUUACAGCGGCCAAGUCGAAGUUUUUCCUUAUGAGCCAGCCAGGCCAGGUCAAAGUGGCACUACCACUUCCACCGCCACAUCCACUGGCGGCACUGCGACAUCGGGAAUCGAAUGCCGAGCGGUGCUCAUUAGACCAAAGCAUAGAGGGUGCAUAGACAUCUGUGUUUCUUUUUAUGCACUUUGGCUUUCUUUCCGCCCGGCCGGAGGAAGGGGCGGGGUUCAAAGGGGAACUAGGAGCGUUGAGGUCGACGGACCGUGUAACGCAACUGCAACUGCAAGUGGCUGGCCGACCGACCGACUGUCUUGUCUUAACCUGGCUCAAAACGCUCAACAAACGGGCAGGAAACUCGGGGAAAAAGCGCGCAAUUUCGGGUGGUUCUUGAGCUGGGCUAUUUAGCAUUUGAACCGUAUCGUGUUGGGGUAUUCACUCGAGUGAAUGCCAAAAGCCUGAUUUCGCAGGUGUGGAAAUGUUUACCGGUUGCCCAGCAACACUGCAAUAUACAGAAAGACUUAUUCUAAAUGAAUUAUAUCUCUGUACUGGCACUUCCUGUGGGCCCAGAUAUAUAUUUUAAAGACAAUGCCCACACUACACCCAUUUCACAAGCUCCACAUCUGCUUCGCCCACUCUCCAAGAUGUGGGCACUCCUAGUCGAGAUUCCCUGGGCAACAAAUGCGUUGGUGCAACCUGAUCCCAUCCAAUCCAA
Molecule: long non-coding RNA, 2189 nt
Organism: Drosophila simulans
Lineage: Eukaryota; Metazoa; Arthropoda; Insecta; Diptera; Drosophilidae
Exons: 3
Source: RefSeq, a predicted model, not a curated record